This 1101-nucleotide long non-coding RNA is filed under the name Homo sapiens (human). RNAcentral describes it as "HSALNT0368994". The record is from RNAcentral. Lineage: Eukaryota; Metazoa; Chordata; Mammalia; Primates; Hominidae.
CGCAAAGACUAACACAGAUGUAAAACAGGUGUUGGCCACUCCCAGAACAUAUGCCUAAGACAACAAGCAAGCUGAGAGUAAUUUGGUACACGAACUGGUUGUCCCUUCCAUGCCACCUCUCCAUUGACAGUUAUGCUGGAAAUGAGAUUUAACAGCAAAGAUUUCUCUUUCCUACACCAUGCCCAACUUCCUCAGUGCUAGUAGCUUUGGAUGUGAGAGGAAGACCACACACACACACACACACACACACACACACACAGACACACACAGACACACACACACACACUGAGUUUAGAUCAACAAGCAUAUACUGAGUGCCCAUUACCAGGUGUCAUGCUGGAAUUAUAGGCACAGGUGGAGCCUCAGGAGUCAAGCUCUCUGAAUUCACACCCCAGUUUAUCUCUCAGUAGCUGGAUAGCCUCAGGCAAGUUCCUCAGCCUUUCUAAGCCGUAGCUGCUUUACCUGCAAAACAAGGAUACUAAUAACACCUACUUCAUGGGAGUUUGUGACUAUCAAAUAAGAUAAUUCGUAUACAGUUGCCUGGCAUCUAGUAUGUGCAAUAAACUGAGCUAUAAUCACCACCAUCAUCAUCGCAGCAUAGCCUCAGUCUUUAUCCCCAGGUAAACUAGGGUGAAAAGACACAUAAACAGAUUAUGCCCAUUUUUUGUGAGAUGGUAAGUGGACUUCAGAAAAGAGGCACUUAGCUCAACGUGGAAUGCAAGGAAGGUCUCUGAGCUGAGAGUCAAAAGGUAUGGGAAAAAGAAGUCAUCUGUCUUCAAAUCACGAAGAAAGUCCUCAUCAGGAACCAAAUCAUCUGCCACCUUGCUCUUGGACUUCCCAGGCUCUAGAACUAUGAGAAAUAAAUUUUUUGCUGGAUGAAGUGGCUCAUGCCUGUAAUCCCAAAUUUUUCAGAGGCCAAGGCAGUAGGAUCACUUGGGUCCAGGAGUUCAAGACAAGCCUGGGCAACAAAGUGAGACUCUGUCUCUCCAAAAGUCAAAAACUUAGCCAGGCAUGGUAGCAUGAGCCUGUGGUUCCAGCCUUACAAGAGGCUGAGGCAGGAGGAUUGCUUGAGCCAAAAAGAAGAGGCUGCAAUGAGCUGUG